GGAUCUGAUCAUAAUCCAUUCUGCUCUAACGCACAACUCUUUAACCAAAUGAAUGAUAAACUCUUUUAGAGGUUUACAUGCAUGUAUUAUAAGCAUCCUGCUGUAUAUCCCACUUCAACUCUCCAGUACUGUCCCAUUUCCAGAAUGAGCCCUUGGCCAAGAAUUUUCCAAUAGCAAUUUCAGAAAGAGAAGUCUACAAGGUGUUUGAAAAUUUGCUGUGCUGCAGAGAUUCUACAGAAAGAUAUUGCUGGGAUAUAAUAUGAUACAAAGCACAGCAGGAUGCAGUCUGUUUGCCAUGCCAAAUACAUCUUGCAACAGACAAGAGGUUUAAAGGAUAUACCCAUGAGGGACUAUUAAAUGAAUGUAACUGGAGAGGCUAGUACAGGGAAGAGCCUUAUUCUAAAGAUGCAAGAUUAACAUGAGCAGCUGCUGAUGUUAAGGCAAGCAAAGAAUAAUUUGGUAUUGUAUAGAAUAGACAAUAUAAUAAAAAGGUGUAAGUGAUGGUGUCCAUCAUUACUGUUCAACAAAUAAACUAUUUCUUCAGCUUCAAAUAUUCACUGACUUGGAACAAGUUUCUGAAAGAGUGGAAAGAAAAACUGAUUAAACAAUCUGGAAAACCUGUUCUGAAUUUUUUUUUUUUAAUGGUUUUCAAAGAGAUCUGAAGUUUCAGCUUAAUAUUGAGAGGACCAGGAUGCGCCUGGAAAGCAUAGGGAUUAGUUGCAUAGAGAAUCACAGAAUGUGCAACAUUUGGUUUUUACUACUUGAUACUAUGUUGAAUGUUAUGUAUGCUAGUAGCUUCUCUUCUACUUCUUCUUUCUUGAUGUUACAAGGAUGUUCAGAGUUAGGUUAUAAAAUGUCUUAGGACAAGCAAAUUCAUGUAAGCAUCCUUGUCACUUGAGUUUGCCACUGUGUGGAAGGAGUCAGAUUUGUUUAUAGGAAGCAGAAUAAAGGAGCUAAUAACUGAGAGGAAUGUAAAAGUGAGGAAGCUGGUGAAAUUGUGUGAAGAUCUUUUAGAAGCUGGAGUUUGUGCAAUAAAAGCUACAGUGUGCUUAUCUACAGUUUAGAAAACCACUCUUUACAGAAAUACAAAGUAGGCAGUAGAUUACUGUUUAAGACAAUAUACCAGCAUAAGGAAUGUAUGCAGUAACUAGGAGGGAGGCAGUAGGUUUGCAGACUUUUCCAGUAUAUUAGUUCUAAUAUUUUUUCUAAUUAUAGUAUUGUUUUCUCUUGUGUUUUUAUGUCCCACAUUAGGGAUAUCCACUUUCUAAAAUUUAAAACAAUCUAGUUACAUUUUCAUUAGAAUAUCAUCAUAGUAUCUUAUGGUUGCUUGUUUCUAAAUUGUCAUACAUUUGUCUGAAUUAUGACAAGACUAAAUUAUGUUAUCCCUGUUUAUUUUGCUUAAAUGAGACUGCUUCUCUUUGUCAAAUUGAUCACAUUUUCUUUGGCCUUAAUUACUAUAACAUACUCACAAAGAAUUUUGAGUAAUCAGUUAUGUAUCACUUUCUGGAAUCAAGGCAAAGAAAUUUUCUCGUAUCUGAUCAAUCAUUCUUACACAAUGGAAUAAAGAAUCCUAGAAUUUUUUUUAUGAAGUAUAUAUCUGUAUGAACAUACGUGUUAGGUCACUCUGAAAGUAAUACCUCAUAUUUAUUUCCUGAAAAAAUACAACAGGUACAAAGAGCAUAAUAGCACUAUCUGGUUGUUU
This is a long non-coding RNA of Tympanuchus pallidicinctus (lesser prairie-chicken), 1702 nucleotides long. RefSeq lists it as uncharacterized. The record is from RefSeq and is a predicted model, not a curated record. The transcript has 3 exons. Lineage: Eukaryota; Metazoa; Chordata; Aves; Galliformes; Phasianidae.